This 475-nucleotide ribosomal RNA is filed under the name uncultured Nisaea sp. Its description in RNAcentral is "bacterial SSU rRNA". It matches the Rfam family "Bacterial small subunit ribosomal RNA", at positions 40 to 525 of the family's 1533-position model. Lineage: Bacteria; Pseudomonadati; Pseudomonadota; Alphaproteobacteria; Rhodospirillales; Thalassobaculaceae. The record is from RNAcentral.
CGGCGCCCUUCCAAGGCAAGUCGAACGGGGGCCACACCUUCGGGUGCGGCCCUAGUGGCGGACGGGUGAGUAGCGCGUGGGAACCUGCCCCGAGCUUUGGGACAACCGCGGGAAACUGCGGCUAAUACCGGAUGAUGCCCCUCGCGAGGGGGGCCAAAGUCCCGAUCUUCGGAUCGGGGCGGCUCGGGAGGGGCCCGCGUCCGAUUAGCUGGUUGGUGGGGUAACGGCCCACCAAGGCGGUGAUCGGUAGCUGGUCUGAGAGGACGAUCAGCCACACUGGGACUGAGACACGGCCCAGACUCCUACGGGAGGCAGCAGUGGGGAAUCUUGGACAAUGGGGGCAACCCUGAUCCAGCGACGCCGCGUGGGUGAUGAAGGCCUUCGGGUUGUAAAGCCCUUUCGACGGGACGAAGCGCAAGUGACGGUACCUGCAGAAGAAGCACCGGCCAACUACGUGCCAGCAGCCGCGGUAAUA